CAACGACUUGUUUGCAGGUUAAAUGGAACAAGGGAAAUUGGCAAAAUAUUUCUGCAUUAUUUUCUAACCAGCUGUCAGCUUGGAGAUCACCUUUGCAACAUUAUCCCGCUUUUUCAGAAAAGACUUCCCUUCUUUAUACAAGACAGGCUGAUUUUAGGAGCAGAUCUAAGUCUGAAAGAGACAAGCUUUUGCCAGGAACGACAGUCAUCUAGUAGCUGCAGAAAGCAGCGUCAGCAGAACCUGUGGGAAGUCAGACACCAGCCCACUCUGUGCCACCCACCCAGACACUCUCCCUCUCUGGUCUGUACCUUCCGUGUGGCAGCUGGAAGAGAGGAUGGUGUUCGGAGGUCUGAAGAUGUAAGGCAGGUUCUCUCCCAGAUCUGCAAAGCUGGGGAGCCCGAGGAAUAACUGGAGAUGGGUCCCAUUUUGCCAUCAGAGCCAGGAAGCACUGCCUUACAUUUCUGCAUGCAGCUCAAACUCAGAAGCCCCCAAGCAAGCCGGGAUGUGGCCUCUUCAUUGGCUGCAGCUCCUCCGAGCAGGAUUUGCUGAUUACCCCAUUUUGCAGAGGAGAAAACCGGCUGGGAGGAUAUGAUAAUUUAUCCAAAGGAGAUGCUGUGUUUCUGGAAUCACCUGGUGCACCUUUGAAGAAUGCAGACCUAACAGCCCCCGAGCCAAUUGAUUCUGACUCUCUGGGAAUAACGAGAGGCUUCUUACUUUGAGUCUGAGAAUUUCUGGAGUUUAAUUCCGUGCUUUGCCUGGAUGAGUCAGGGUGAUGGAAACUUAUCCAAAUAUUCUAUCCUAAGUCACAUGUACCUUACCAUUUGUAUCCAACUCUCUGUGGCCACUCAGAUGACUUAAUCAGCACUAGGCAUGGGGAGGGGGACAUAGCAUGUAUGACAUCAUCCCUGUUCUAAAGGUGUACCUAUUCUUAAUAGCAGAAAGGAGGUCUGGAUUAAAAAGCCCUAAGGGUCAAUGUUAGAGACCUACA
This is a long non-coding RNA of Ictidomys tridecemlineatus (thirteen-lined ground squirrel), 988 nucleotides long. RefSeq lists it as uncharacterized. The record is from RefSeq and is a predicted model, not a curated record. NCBI's taxonomy places the organism in Eukaryota, Metazoa, Chordata, Mammalia, Rodentia, Sciuridae.